AGAAACCACGUCGGCCGUCGCCAACACAGCCCACUCCCAUCCCCGCACCGCCCAAGGAGCCUCCCAAAAUCCGGUUUUCAGCUGCGGCGGCCGCUGCUUCCCGCCGGCGACGUACUAAUGGUGGAUGCUGGUCUUUGUUUUUGCUGGAUGCCUUGACAGGUUCCCACUUCGGGAGGAGUUCGUCGGCAGCCUAGAACACCCAGAUCCGGUCCCUGUCGCUGUGCUGCGGACGGGAGAAGCCAGCCCUGUUGUGCUGGAGGAGUCAAACGCAGGAUCUGGAUGAGGGCAACAAGUUGGUGUCGCCGGCCGGAGGAGUCGCAGGGCGGCAUGCGCCGGUGGCGUGAGGCAUACUCGGUCUUCCCAAUCGUCCGACAGGUUCAACCCCAAGGCGCCCGAUUGGACAAAAAGGUUGCGUCUCGGCAGUGCACCACCCGACAGGAUGCCGUGCCCCUCUAGGAUGAGUGCACAAGAGGAGUCGAUUUGCAAAUACGUGGAGGAGCCAACACAAAGUGUUAUUACACCAGAACUAGGAAUUAGUUUCGACUCACUUGGCGAUGGAUAUGAUUUCUACACCUUGUAUUCGUGAGAGGUCGGCUUGGGAGUUAGGUAUGGAAAGAACAGGCUGAAUGCCGAGAGGACCAAAUCAGUGCAGGAGAUCGUUUGCGGAUGUUGGUUGUGUACUAAGAAAAUGGACUUCAAAUUUGUUACCUGCAGAUCAGCUGAUUUGCAAGUUUCAUGCUAUACUGAGAAGCAACUAUAUGUAACAUGCAUGUAUAUCUGUUUGUUAGAUAGUUGUUGAUUGGAAAGAAUCCACUGGAA
Aegilops tauschii subsp. strangulata is the source of this 819-nucleotide long non-coding RNA. RefSeq lists it as uncharacterized. The record is from RefSeq and is a predicted model, not a curated record. NCBI's taxonomy places the organism in Eukaryota, Viridiplantae, Streptophyta, Magnoliopsida, Poales, Poaceae.